This 148-nucleotide signal recognition particle RNA is filed under the name Homo sapiens (human). Its description in RNAcentral is "Metazoan signal recognition particle RNA". It matches the Rfam family "Metazoan signal recognition particle RNA". Rfam says of the family: The signal recognition particle (SRP) is a universally conserved ribonucleoprotein. It is involved in the co-translational targeting of proteins to membranes. The eukaryotic SRP consists of a 300-nucleotide 7S RNA and six proteins: SRPs 72, 68, 54, 19, 14, and 9. Lineage: Eukaryota; Metazoa; Chordata; Mammalia; Primates; Hominidae. The record is from Rfam by way of RNAcentral.
GCCGGGCGUGGUGGCGGGCGCCUGUAAUCCCAGCUACUCGGGAGGCUGAGGCAGGAGAAUUGCUUGAGUCCAGGAGACGGAGGUUGCAGUGAGCCAAGCUCGUGCCACUGCACUCCAGCCUGACCAACAGAGCGAUACCCUGUCUCAA